RNAcentral lists this ribosomal RNA (1830 nucleotides) under Triticum aestivum (bread wheat). Its description in RNAcentral is "partial small subunit ribosomal RNA". Lineage: Eukaryota; Viridiplantae; Streptophyta; Magnoliopsida; Poales; Poaceae. The record is from RNAcentral.
AUGGCCGGGGUCGUCGCCUCCUCCACCGCUUUUCUUCUCCUCCUUGUCCUCCUGCCCAAGAACGGGAGCGUGGCCUUGGCGGCAGAGACGUGCUACUGCUACCAGAGGAGCGCCGUCAACGGGGAAGCGAACAAGCUGACCAAGACGAUCGCGCUGCUCGCCGUCGGCCCCAUUGAGCUGCAAAUAAAAAAGACGGUCUCGCCGGUGAGCGGCUGCUCGGGAGCGGUGCCGACGUCGCCAAGGCCACCGCCAAUCCCGGCGGACACGCGCACCCUUACACCUCCAGCCCCGCUUGCUGCGGAUAAAAGGGGCUUGAACUGGCGCCCAAAGGCAUGGUGCUGCUGGGGCAUCGCCGUGGCAACGGUGAUCGUCCUCUUCGCGGUGAGGCCUAAAAUGUUCCUAGUACCAUCGCGCAACGGCGGCGAACCGCUUGACGGCAACGAACAUACUACCAUGGUCAGCGUGGCCGCACAGGUCCCGACUGGCUCGCGUGAAACUAGGCGAGAACGUCGGUCGCGCCGGAUGCCCCGACCCCAGCUGCGAGAAACGUUGAUCAUCGAUAGCAAUGGGAAUUCACGGUUGGACGGCAACAGUGAGCUCUUCUACUGCCCCAUGUGCACAACGACGGCGCCCAUCAUCCACAAAUCCAGCUUCGGCUCAUGCGGCCACGCCUUCUGCAACAGCUGUGUAGCCAAGUACAUCGCUGUGAGGCAGCGUGAGAAUGUCGCUCUUCCCGUCGAAUGCCCCGAGUGCGAGGACGACGCCUGCCGCGACCCCUUGCUGAACAGCGAUGGCGAUGGCAAUGAAGAUUCAUCAGCGGACGGCAACGACGUCGGCGACGGUAAGCGCUUCUACUGCGCCAAGUGCAUGCAUGUGGUGCCAUGUGCAUGUAUACGGCGCAGCUUCACCUCGUGCGCCCAUGACUUCUGCUCCAACUGUGUUUCUCGUCGACUGCAAGGACGGCGCGGCGACGGCAAGCACUUCUACUGCACCAAGUGCAUGCACGUCGUGCCAUGUGCAUGUAUACGGCCCAGCUUCACCUCGUGCUCCCAUGAUUUCUGCUCGAGCUGUGUUUCUCGUCAACUGCAAGGACUGCGCCGCCGAGCCGGAAAGAGGCCACAACAUCAGCCCCCCGUGGACAUGUUGCUGUUAACCGAGGGCAACGAAGAUUUGCCGGUCGACGGCGUCGGCGAGCUCUUCGACUGCGCCAUCUGCAUGGAAACGGUGCCCGGCACCCUCAAGUUCAUCAUCAACUCGUGCGGCCACGCCUUCUGCUCCAGCUGCGUCGCCCAGUACGUGGCCGCGAAGCUGGACGACAAUGUCUGUCCCAUCGAAUGCCCGCAGCCAGGCUGCGAGGACGGCACCAUCGAGCCGGAGAGCUGCCACGGCAUCAUCCCCACGGACCUCCUCGACAAGUGGGGUUUGCUACUAUGCGAGCUCGCGGUCGGCGCCAAGAGGAUAUACUGCCCGUACCUAGAGUGCUCGGCGCUCUUGCUCACCGACGGCGAGGCCGGGGCGGCGGCCAUCGCCGAGGCGGAAUGCCCGCACUGCCACCGGCUUUUCUGCGCCCGGUGCGCCGUGCCAUGGCACGACAGCUUCGGGUGCGAGGAGUUCCAGAAGCUCGGGCAGGACGAGCGCGGCCGGGAGGACCUCCUGCUCAGGGGCCUCGUCGGCAGGGAGGGCUGGCAGCGGUGCCCCGAGUGCCAGAUGUUCGUGGAGAAAUCGGAAGGGUGCAAUUACAUCAAGUGCAGGUGUGGAUACAGCUUCUGCUACCGAUGCGCAUCCGAGUUGUCUGCGCAAAACCAUUACUGCAACAAGUGCAAGCGCUAA